CCUACGGGGGGCUGCAGUGGGGAAUUUUGGACAAUGGGCGAAAGCCUGAUCCAGCCAUUCCGCGUGCAGGAUGAAGGCCCUCGGGUUGUAAACUGCUUUUGUACAGAACGAAAAAGCUCUGGUUAAUACCUGGAGUCCAUGACGGUACUGUAAGAAUAAGCACCGGCUAACUACGUGCCAGCAGCCGCGGUAAUACGUAGGGUGCAAGCGUUAAUCGGAAUUACUGGGCGUAAAGCGUGCGCAGGCGGUGAUGUAAGACAGUUGUGAAAUCCCCG
RNAcentral lists this ribosomal RNA (275 nucleotides) under uncultured bacterium. Its description in RNAcentral is "partial 16S ribosomal RNA". It matches the Rfam family "Bacterial small subunit ribosomal RNA", at positions 338 to 605 of the family's 1533-position model. The record is from RNAcentral.